UCUUGCAUUUUAUCUACAUCAUUCAGAAAGUGAUCGUUCAAACCCCUGUAACUAAUGGUACAUAGAAAACAUACUAUUUCAAUAGCUUUAGUGAUGAAUUUUUUGUAGAUUGGCGAGGGGGAAAAGCUAGUGCGAGCCCUCUUUGGAGUUGCCAGUUGUCGUCAACCAGCUGUGAUUUUUGUUGAUGAAAUUGAUUCACUUCUCUCUCAGCGUAAGUCAGAAGGUGAACAUGAAUCGAGUAGGAGACUGAAAACACACUUUCUCAUUGAGAUGGAAGGCUUUGACAGUGGCAGUGAACAAAUUCUACUCAUAGGAGCAACGAAUCGGCCCCAGGAACUUGAUGAAGCAGCACGGAGGCGACUUACGAAAAUGCUAUAUAUUCCUUUACCUUCUUCAGAAGCAAGAGCAUGGAUCAUACAAAAUCUACUAAAGAAGGAUGGAUUAUUCAAACUUGAAAAGGGAGAUAUUGACACCAUAUGCGAAUUAACAGAAGGUAACUAAUCC
Humulus lupulus (European hop) is the source of this 504-nucleotide long non-coding RNA. RefSeq lists it as uncharacterized. The transcript has 4 exons. The record is from RefSeq and is a predicted model, not a curated record. NCBI's taxonomy places the organism in Eukaryota, Viridiplantae, Streptophyta, Magnoliopsida, Rosales, Cannabaceae.